Molecule: ribosomal RNA, 240 nt
Filed under: uncultured bacterium
Lineage: Bacteria
Description: partial 16S ribosomal RNA
Rfam family: Bacterial small subunit ribosomal RNA
Source: RNAcentral
AUACGUAGGUGGCGAGCGUUGUCCGGAAUUACUGGGUGUAAAGGGCGUGUAGGCGGGAAUGUAAGUCAGAUGUGAAAUGCCGAGGCUUAACCUCGGAGCUGCAUCUGAAACUGUGUUUCUUGAGUGUCGGAGAGGAAAGUGGAAUUCCUAGUGUAGCGGUGAAAUGCGUAGAUAUUAGGAGGAACACCAGUGGCGAAGGCGACUUUCUGGACGAUAACUGACGCUGAGGCGCGAAAGCGU